Non-coding RNA from Enhydra lutris kenyoni (northern sea otter), 372 nucleotides. The record is from the annotation of a RefSeq genome assembly. NCBI's taxonomy places the organism in Eukaryota, Metazoa, Chordata, Mammalia, Carnivora, Mustelidae.
AUGCGCCGCCCUGUCCUGCCUGGGUCUGCCAGGGGCACCCAGCUGCUCUGCUGGGUGUCCCUCUGUCUCCUGGGGGCAGGUCCGGCGGGUGCCGAAGUCAUCCAGACACCCAGACACCUAAUCCGAGGCAGUGGGGGGAAGGCCGUGCUGAAAUGCGAACCUGUCUCUGGGCACAGCAGUGUGCGAUGGUACCAGCAGACCCUGGGGCAGGGCCCCAAGUUCCUCAUUGAGUAUUAUGAACAGAUGCUGAGAGACAAAGGAGACAUGCCAGAACGGUUCUCAGCUCAACAGCUCAGUAACUACAGCUCCCAGCUAGACCUGAGCUUGCUGGAGCCAGGAGACUCAGCCAUGUAUCUCUGUGCCAGCAGUUAG